UGUGUGUGUGUGUGUGUGUGUGUGUAUAAUGCUAUUUUUAAGAUAUUGCAACCAAUAAAAAACUAUUAUCUAUAAAUCAAUUAAAAAAUGUACAAACCAAUGAUACCAAUGAAUAGUAGUAUUUAGUUUUAAAUUAUUUAAUUAUCGUUACAAUUCUUUCUUCUUAGAUCAUUAAUCGAGAGUGAGUUCAAGAAAAAUAUAUU
RNAcentral lists this long non-coding RNA (203 nucleotides) under Elaeis guineensis (African oil palm). RNAcentral describes it as "long non-coding RNA (EGUI_LNC003318)". The record is from RNAcentral. Lineage: Eukaryota; Viridiplantae; Streptophyta; Magnoliopsida; Arecales; Arecaceae.